AAAUUCCUACUAUGUGCGUAGAAUGAGUUUAUAUUGACCCAACAAUUUUGAAAUGGGAAUCGGACUCUUUUUAUGGAAUGAUACUCAGGCAGAUUUCCCUGAGAACAAGAAGUAAAAAGGAGAUGCCCACCUGCGAGAGCGGGUUCAAACAUGACUCAGGAUACGGCAUGGUGGGGUUUUA
RNAcentral lists this non-coding RNA (181 nucleotides) under Clostridium thailandense. RNAcentral describes it as "6S / SsrS RNA". It matches the Rfam family "6S / SsrS RNA". Rfam says of the family: E. coli 6S RNA was the first non coding RNA to be sequenced, but its function was unknown until recently. Lineage: Bacteria; Bacillati; Bacillota; Clostridia; Eubacteriales; Clostridiaceae. The record is from Rfam by way of RNAcentral. RNAcentral also lists the same sequence under 1 other name.